Molecule: ribosomal RNA, 2918 nt
Filed under: Klebsiella pneumoniae
Lineage: Bacteria; Pseudomonadati; Pseudomonadota; Gammaproteobacteria; Enterobacterales; Enterobacteriaceae
Description: 23S ribosomal RNA
Rfam family: Bacterial large subunit ribosomal RNA
Source: RNAcentral
GGGUUGUGAGGUUAAGCGACUAAGCGUACACGGUGGAUGCCCUGGCAGUCAGAGGCGAUGAAGGACGUGCUAAUCUGCGAAAAGCGUCGGUAAGGUGAUAUGAACCGUUAUAACCGGCGAUGUCCGAAUGGGGAAACCCAGUGCAAUUCGUUGCACUAUCGUUAACUGAAUACAUAGGUUAACGAGGCGAACCGGGGGAACUGAAACAUCUAAGUACCCCGAGGAAAAGAAAUCAACCGAGAUUCCCCCAGUAGCGGCGAGCGAACGGGGAGCAGCCCAGAGUCUGAAUCAGCUUGUGUGUUAGUGGAACGGUCUGGAAAGUCCGACGGUACAGGGUGAUAGUCCCGUACACCAAAAUGCACAGGCUGUGAACUCGAAGAGUAGGGCGGGACACGUGGUAUCCUGUCUGAAUAUGGGGGGACCAUCCUCCAAGGCUAAAUACUCCUGACUGACCGAUAGUGAACCAGUACCGUGAGGGAAAGGCGAAAAGAACCCCGGCGAGGGGAGUGAAAAAGAACCUGAAACCGUGUACGUACAAGCAGUGGGAGCACCUUCGGGUGUGACUGCGUACCUUUGUAUAAUGGGUCAGCGACUUAUAUUCUGUAGCAAGGUUAACCGUAUAGGGAGCCGCAGGGAAACCGAGUCUUAACUGGGCGUUAAGUUGCAGGGUAUAGACCCGAAACCCGGUGAUCUAGCCAUGGGCAGGUUGAAGGUUGGGUAACACUAACUGGAGGACCGAACCGACUAAUGUUGAAAAAUUAGCGGAUGACUUGUGGCUGGGGUGAAAGGCCAAUCAAACCGGGAGAUAGCUGGUUCUCCCCGAAAGCUAUUUAGGUAGCGCCUCGUGAACUCAUCUUCGGGGUAGAGCACUGUUUCGGCUAGGGGUCAUCCCGACUUACCAACCCGAUGCAAACUACGAAUACCGAAGAAUGUUAUCACGGGAGACACACGGCGGGUGCUAACGUCCGUCGUGAAGAGGGAAACAACCCAGACCGCCAGCUAAGGUCCCAAAGUCAUGGUUAAGUGGGAAACGAUGUGGGAAGGCACAGACAGCCAGGAUGUUGGCUUAGAAGCAGCCAUCAUUUAAAGAAAGCGUAAUAGCUCACUGGUCGAGUCGGCCUGCGCGGAAGAUGUAACGGGGCUAAACCAUGCACCGAAGCUGCGGCAGCGACACUAUGUGUUGUUGGGUAGGGGAGCGUUCUGUAAGCCUGCGAAGGUGUGCUGUGAGGCAUGCUGGAGGUAUCAGAAGUGCGAAUGCUGACAUAAGUAACGAUAAAGCGGGUGAAAAGCCCGCUCGCCGGAAGACCAAGGGUUCCUGUCCAACGUUAAUCGGGGCAGGGUGAGUCGAGCCCUAAGGCGAGGCCGAAAGGCGUAGUCGAUGGGAAACAGGUUAAUAUUCCUGUACUUGGUGUUACUGCGAAGGGGGGACGGAGAAGGCUAUGUUAGCCGGGCGACGGUUGUCCCGGUUUAAGCAUGUAGGCUGGUUGUCCAGGCAAAUCCGGAUAAUCAAGGCUGAGGUGUGAUGACGAGGCACUACGGUGCUGAAGUAACAAAUGCCCUGCUUCCAGGAAAAGCCUCUAAGCAUCAGGUAACAUCAAAUCGUACCCCAAACCGACACAGGUGGUCAGGUAGAGAAUACCAAGGCGCUUGAGAGAACUCGGGUGAAGGAACUAGGCAAAAUGGUGCCGUAACUUCGGGAGAAGGCACGCUGGUGUGUAGGUGAAGUCCCUGCGGAUGGAGCUGAGACCAGUCGAAGAUACCAGCUGGCUGCAACUGUUUAUUAAAAACACAGCACUGUGCAAACACGAAAGUGGACGUAUACGGUGUGACGCCUGCCCGGUGCCGGAAGGUUAAUUGAUGGGGUUAUCCGUAAGGAGAAGCUCUUGAUCGAAGCCCCGGUAAACGGCGGCCGUAACUAUAACGGUCCUAAGGUAGCGAAAUUCCUUGUCGGGUAAGUUCCGACCUGCACGAAUGGCGUAAUGAUGGCCAGGCUGUCUCCACCCGAGACUCAGUGAAAUUGAACUCGCUGUGAAGAUGCAGUGUACCCGCGGCAAGACGGAAAGACCCCGUGAACCUUUACUAUAGCUUGACACUGAACAUUGAGCCUUGAUGUGUAGGAUAGGUGGGAGGCUUUGAAGCGUGGACGCCAGUCUGCGUGGAGCCAACCUUGAAAUACCACCCUUUAAUGUUUGAUGUUCUAACGUUGGCCCCUUACCGGGGUUGCGGACAGUGUCUGGUGGGUAGUUUGACUGGGGCGGUCUCCUCCCAAAGCGUAACGGAGGAGCACGAAGGUUAGCUAAUCCUGGUCGGACAUCAGGAGGUUAGUGCAAUGGCAUAAGCUAGCUUGACUGCGAGCGUGACGGCGCGAGCAGGUGCGAAAGCAGGUCAUAGUGAUCCGGUGGUUCUGAAUGGAAGGGCCAUCGCUCAACGGAUAAAAGGUACUCCGGGGAUAACAGGCUGAUACCGCCCAAGAGUUCAUAUCGACGGCGGUGUUUGGCACCUCGAUGUCGGCUCAUCACAUCCUGGGGCUGAAGUAGGUCCCAAGGGUAUGGCUGUUCGCCAUUUAAAGUGGUACGCGAGCUGGGUUUAGAACGUCGUGAGACAGUUCGGUCCCUAUCUGCCGUGGGCGCUGGAGAAUUGAGGGGGGCUGCUCCUAGUACGAGAGGACCGGAGUGGACGCAUCACUGGUGUUCGGGUUGUCAUGCCAAUGGCACUGCCCGGUAGCUAAAUGCGGAAGAGAUAAGUGCUGAAAGCAUCUAAGCACGAAACUUGCCCCGAGAUGAGUUCUCCCUGAGACUUUAAGUCUCCUGAAGGAACGUUAAAGACGAUGACGUUGAUAGGCCGGGUGUGUAAGCGCAGCGAUGCGUUGAGCUAACCGGUACUAAUGAACCGUGAGGCUUAACCUUACAACGCCGAAG